AACGAACGCUGGCGGCGUGCCUAACACAUGCAAGUCGAGCGGGAAAGUUCUCUUCGGGGAGCGAGUACAGCGGCGAACGGGUGAGUAACACGUAGGCAACCUACCGUUGGAGAUUGGGAUAACCUGCCGAAAGGCGGGCUAAUACCAGAUAAGACCACGAGGGCUGCGGCCCUUAGAGGAAAAGAUGGCCUCUGCUUGCAUGCUAUCGCUCCGGGAUGGGCCUGCGCGCCAUUAGCUAGUUGGUGAGGUAACGGCUCACCAAGGCCGAGAUGGCUAGCUGGUCUGAGAGGAUGGCCAGCCACACU
Molecule: ribosomal RNA, 305 nt
Filed under: uncultured bacterium
Lineage: Bacteria
Description: bacterial SSU rRNA
Rfam family: Bacterial small subunit ribosomal RNA
Source: RNAcentral